Rosa chinensis is the source of this 563-nucleotide long non-coding RNA. RefSeq lists it as uncharacterized. The record is from RefSeq and is a predicted model, not a curated record. NCBI's taxonomy places the organism in Eukaryota, Viridiplantae, Streptophyta, Magnoliopsida, Rosales, Rosaceae. The transcript has 3 exons.
AUCAGAAGUCCUUUGGCAAACAGCCAAACGCAAUAUGGUGUCCCAGUGAUUUCAAAGCCCCAACUCUAAUCCUUGUAGGCCUCGUUUGUGGAGUAUUUUUGUUACUACAAAACUGGUUCAGUUUGGUUUUGGUUCGUCUAAAACCAAACUCAUCCGAUUUUAACCGAAUUCGAUAAAGAAACACCGUUUGUUCUAACCCACACAAUAUACUUUUCAUAUACCUCCUCUUUGCUUACCUCGACUUCUGUUUUCACUCAGCUUUAGGGUUAUCUUUGUCAAAACAAAAAGGAGAGGGAGAGAGAGGAUGCAGAACUGGAGAAAGAGAUGUAAGUCAAGUCAAUGGUCACAACCAUUUUGGUUUUUAAGAUGAAAAUAAAAACAAUUGACUUUGGAUUCAGCGGAGACGAAGCCGGCCUUUCUUGUUCUUAUUGGGUCUACAAAAAGGAGAAAACUUUUCAGUCUCCAGUGGUUUCAUCAUCAUCAGGCAAGUUACUCAACGUUCAUGUGUUCGGAGACUUCAAUAGAUAGUUGAGCUGGAGAGGAAUGUGCAAGCUUUACAGGCA